RNAcentral lists this ribosomal RNA (600 nucleotides) under uncultured bacterium. RNAcentral's name for it is "bacterial SSU rRNA". It matches the Rfam family "Bacterial small subunit ribosomal RNA", at positions 84 to 657 of the family's 1533-position model. The record is from RNAcentral.
GUUAGCAGAAAGUGGCGAACGGGUGAGUAACGCGUGGGUAAUCUACCCUGUUUUAGUGGGGGAUAACCCUCCGAAAGGAGGGCUAAUACCGCAUAAUAUCUUCUCCUCCCAAGAGAAGGAGAUUAAAGAUGGCCUCUAUACUAUGCUAUCGCUUCAGGAUGAGCCCGCGUCCUAUUAGUUAGUUGGUGGGGUAAUGGCCUACCAAGGCGACAAUGGGUAGCCGGUCUGAGAGGAUGUACGGCCACACUGGGACUGAGAUACGGCCCAGACUCCUACGGGAGGCAGCAGUGGGGAAUAUUGCGCAAUGGGGGAAACCCUGACGCAGCGACGCCGCGUGGAUGAUGAAGGCCCUUGGGUUGUAAAAUCCUGUUCUGGGGGAAGAAAGCUUAAAGGUCCAAUAAACCCUUAAGUUUGACGGUACCCCAAGAGAAAGCUCCGGCUAAUUAUGUGCCAGCAGCCGCGGUAAUACAUAAGGAGCAAGCGUUAUCCGGAAUUAUUGGGCGUAAAGAGCUCGUAGGCGGUCUUAAAAGUCAGUUGUGAAAUUAUCAGGCUCAACCUGAUAAGGUCAUCUGAAACUUUAAGACUUGAGGUUAGAAGAGG